CCUACGGGAGGCAGCAGUGAGGAAUAUUGGUCAAUGGACGCAAGUCUGAACCAGCCAAGUAGCGUGCAGGAUGACGGCCCUAUGAGUUGUAAACUGCUUUUGUACGGGAAUAAACGGAGGCACGUGUACCUGUUUGUAUGUAUUUUAUGAAUAAGGAUCGGCUAACUCCGUGCCAGCAGCCGCGGUAAUACGGAGGAUUCAAGCGUUAUCCGGAUUUAUUGGGUUUAAAGGGUGCGUAGAUGGUCUGUUAAGUCAGUGGUGAAAGCACGCGGCUCAACUGUGGAAUUGCAAUUGAUACUGGCAGUCUUGAGUGUAGUUGAGGUAGGCGGAAUGCAUGGUGUAGCGGUGAAAUGCUGAGAGAGCAUGAAGAACACCGAUUGCGAAGGCAGCUUACCAAGCUGCGACUGACGUUGAGGCUCGAAAGUGUGGGUAGCAAACAGGAUUAGAUACCCCGGUAGUC
Molecule: ribosomal RNA, 460 nt
Filed under: uncultured bacterium
Lineage: Bacteria
Description: partial 16S ribosomal RNA
Rfam family: Bacterial small subunit ribosomal RNA
Source: RNAcentral